Molecule: ribosomal RNA, 810 nt
Filed under: uncultured bacterium
Lineage: Bacteria
Description: bacterial SSU rRNA
Rfam family: Bacterial small subunit ribosomal RNA
Source: RNAcentral
AGAGUUUGAUCAUGGCUCAGAGCGAACGCUGGCGGCGUGCCUAACACAUGCAAGUCGAACGUGAAAGGGAGCAAUCCCAAGUAAAGUGGCGUACGGGUGAGUAACGCGUAGGUAAUCUACCCCCAAAAUCUGGAAUAACCUGCCGAAAGGCGGGCUAAUACUGGAUAGAGCGAUGGAAUCCGUAAUUGGGUUUUUCGGGAAAGGGAGGGAGCAAUCCCCUUCGUUUUGGGAUGAGCCUGCGUCUCAUUAGCUAGUUGGUGGGGUAAUGGCCCACCAAGGCAGUGAUGGGUAGCUGGUCUGAGAGGAUGAUCAGCCACACUGGAACUGAAACACGGUCCAGACUCCUACGGGAGGCAGCAGUGGGGAAUCUUGCGCAAUGGACGAAAGUCUGACGCAGCCACGCCGCGUGAGUGAAGAAGGCCUUCGGGUUGUAAAGCUCUGUCGAGCGGGACGAAAAUUUUCUGGGUGAAUAGCCCAGGGAACUGACGGUACCGCUAAAGGAAGCACCGGCUAACUCCGUGCCAGCAGCCGCGGUAAUACGGAGGGUGCAAGCGUUGCUCGGAAUUAUUGGGCGUAAAGGGUAGGUAGGUGGUCUCAUUUGUCUGGGGUGAAAGCCUUGAGCUUAACUCAAGAAGUGCCCCAGAAACGGUGAGACUGGAGUCCUGGAGAGGGUCGUGGAAUUCCCGGUGUAGCGGUGAAAUGCGUAGAGAUCGGGAGGAACACCAGAGGCGAAAGCGGCGACCUGGACAGGUACUGACACUCAACUACGAAAGCGUGGGGAGCAAACAGGAUUAGAUACCCUAGUAGUCC